This 1102-nucleotide long non-coding RNA is filed under the name Olea europaea (common olive). RNAcentral describes it as "long non-coding RNA (OEUR_LNC000024)". The record is from RNAcentral. Lineage: Eukaryota; Viridiplantae; Streptophyta; Magnoliopsida; Lamiales; Oleaceae.
UAGGUGCCUGGCACAACGGCUCCUCAUACUCGAUCUUCUUCAUUUCUAGCCUCUUUUUCUCCUCUCCAUUCUUCUGCAUUUUUUUAGAUUUUUCCAUCACUCCCUUUCUUCCCUAGAUUUUCCUAACUCCUCAUUCUUCGUCUAUUUAAACUCAUCUCACCCUCUUCUACUCCAACGCCUCCUUUGAAUAAAGCUUUAGCUUAACCAAUGAAAACAUCCAUAUUGGAAUUUUCAAUAAGAACCCAAAAUAAGGCCUUUGGAAUUUCAGGCUUUUUCAGCGAAGGACUAUAAAGCAUUAACACAUAUUCCAUCAACCUUUAGUUCAUCCUAUUGUUCUCAGAUGUAUGCAUCACUCUCAAUUGAAGGUAAAACAAUCCUAACAACCUUAUUAUCCUCCUAGACCGCCAGAACCACCUCCGGCCGCUGCUUUAACUCAGCAUUCGGACGCUUUAUAGCAUGCUUAAGCUUAUUUUCCCUUUUCAAGUCCAAGAUUUCACUAUAAGCAAGCUUGUGAGGAAGAUCCUUGACCUAUGUUUUCAAUUCCUCGGGUUAGUGUUCCCUGAACGCUUCUUUUCAAAUACUUUAACUGGUAGUGAAGGCUGGGACAAUGAAGCUGAAAUUACUGUUAAUGUUACGACAGCUUCAAAAAAUUAAAUUCGAUUUUUCUGAAUUUUGAUUCUUCUUCCUUCGCUUGACAUAUUAUUAUGCACUUCCUAGAAAGACAUGAAAUUGAGGGUUGGGAUAUGUGUUGGGUGUACAGGAGAAUUGCGAACAAGAAUGAAGAAUUGACAACACUGGCCAUCAUAUGAAAUUAAUUAAUUAUUUCGAAUAACACAAGGGCUGCAUUGGGCUUUUGAAAACACCACAAUUUCAAAGAGAAUGAUUUUUAUACAUUCUGUUACUGAAAGGCGCGUAUAUUUGUGUGUAUCUAUCUAUACAAGAAUAGGAUGUAGAGGAGGGUGGUGGUUGACGACCAAUAUGGCUAUCCGGUGGUGGGGUUGAUGGAGGGAGACGAUGAUUUUUGGGAUGCAAUCCUUCUAUCCAUCUCUGACCCGUUUGAGUAUCUGUUUGGCAAGAAAAGAAGCCCAAUGGGCCUUCUGGG